GCAAGUCGAGCGGAAGUUGGAGAGCUUGCUCUUCAACUUUAGCGGCGGACGGGUGAGUAACACGUGGGCAACCUGCCCUGCAGAUCGGGAUAACUCCGGGAAACCGGUGCUAAUACCGAAUAGUUUUCGCCACCUCCUGGUGGCGUACGGAAAGACGGUUUCGGCUGUCACUGCAGGAUGGGCCCGCGGCGCAUUAGCUAGUUGGUGGGGUAACGGCCCACCAAGGCGACGAUGCGUAGCCGACCUGAGAGGGUGAUCGGCCACACUGGGACUGAGACACGGCCCAGACUCCUACGGGAGGCAGCAGUAGGGAAUCUUCCGCAAUGGACGAAAGUCUGACGGAGCAACGCCGCGUGAGUGACGAAGGUUUUCGGAUCGUAAAACUCUGUUGUGAGGGAAGAACAAGUACCACUUAACUACUGGUACCUUGACGGUACCUCACCAGAAAGCCACGGCUAACUACGUGCCAGCAGCCGCGGUAAUACGUAGGUGGCAAGCGUUGUCCGGAAUUAUUGGGCGUAAAGCGCGCGCAGGCGGUCCCUUAAGUCUGAUGUGAAAGCCCACGGCUCAACCGUGGAGGGUCAUUGGAAACUGGGGGACUUGAGUGCAGAAGAGGAAAGUGGAAUUCCACGUGUAGCGGUGAAAUGCGUAGAGAUGUGGAGGAACACCAGUGGCGAAGGCGACUUUCUGGUCUGUAACUGACGCUGAGGCGCG
RNAcentral lists this ribosomal RNA (714 nucleotides) under Planococcaceae bacterium MJS38. RNAcentral describes it as "bacterial SSU rRNA". It matches the Rfam family "Bacterial small subunit ribosomal RNA", at positions 57 to 755 of the family's 1533-position model. The record is from RNAcentral. Lineage: Bacteria; Bacillati; Bacillota; Bacilli; Caryophanales; Caryophanaceae.